GUGCCAGCCGCCGCGGUAAUACGUAGGGGGCAAGCGUUGUCCGGAUUUAUUGGGCGUAAAGCGCUCGCAGGCGGUUCGUUGCGUCGUGCGUGAAAGACCCCGGCUCAACUGGGGAGGGUCGUGCGAUACGGGCGAACUUGAGGCCAGUAGGGGGACGCGGAAUUCCGGGUGUAGUGGUGGAAUGCGUAGAGAUCCGGAGGAACACCAGCGGCGAAGGCGGCGUCCUGGACUGGUACUGACGCUCAGGAGCGAAAGCGUGGGGAGCGAUCCGGAUUAGAAACCCCGGUAGUCC
Molecule: ribosomal RNA, 292 nt
Filed under: uncultured bacterium
Lineage: Bacteria
Description: partial 16S ribosomal RNA
Rfam family: Bacterial small subunit ribosomal RNA
Source: RNAcentral